AUGAACGCUGGCGGCGUGCCUAAUACAUGCAAGUCGAGCGAACAGACGAGGAGCUUGCUCCUCUGACGUUAGCGGCGGACGGGUGAGUAACACGUGGAUAACCUACCUAUAAGACUGGGAUAACUUCGGGAAACCGGAGCUAAUACCGGAUAAUAUAUUGAACCGCAUGGUUCAAUAGUGAAAGACGGUUUUGCUGUCACUUAUAGAUGGAUCCGCGCCGCAUUAGCUAGUUGGUAAGGUAACGGCUUACCAAGGCAACGAUGCGUAGCCGACCUGAGAGGGUGAUCGGCCACACUGGAACUGAGACACGGUCCAGACUCCUACGGAAGGCAGCAGUAGGGAAUCUUCCGCAAUGGGCGAAAGCUUGACGGAGCAACGCCGCGUGAGUGAUGAAGGUCUUCGGAUCGUAAAACUCUGUUAUUAGGGAAGAACAAAUGUGUAAGUAACUAUGCACGUCUUGACGGUACCUAAUCAGAAAGCCACGGCUAACUACGUG
Molecule: ribosomal RNA, 496 nt
Filed under: uncultured bacterium
Lineage: Bacteria
Description: partial 16S ribosomal RNA
Rfam family: Bacterial small subunit ribosomal RNA
Source: RNAcentral